RNAcentral lists this ribosomal RNA (643 nucleotides) under gamma proteobacterium PM17. Its description in RNAcentral is "bacterial SSU rRNA". It matches the Rfam family "Bacterial small subunit ribosomal RNA", at positions 32 to 665 of the family's 1533-position model. The record is from RNAcentral. Lineage: Bacteria; Pseudomonadati; Pseudomonadota; Gammaproteobacteria.
GGGGUUAGACGGAACACCCCUAACAAAUGCAAAGUCGAGCGGUAACAGAAAGUAGCUUGCUACUUUGCUGACGAGCGGCGGACGGGUGAGUAAUGCUUGGGAACAUGCCUUGAGGUGGGGGACAACAGUUGGAAACGACUGCUAAUACCGCAUAAUGUCUACGGACCAAAGGGGGCUUCGGCUCUCGCCUUUAGAUUGGCCCAAGUGGGAUUAGCUAGUUGGUGAGGUAAUGGCUCACCAAGGCAACGAUCCCUAGCUGGUUUGAGAGGAUGAUCAGCCACACUGGAACUGAGACACGGUCCAGACUCCUACGGGAGGCAGCAGUGGGGAAUAUUGCACAAUGGGCGAAAGCCUGAUGCAGCCAUGCCGCGUGUGUGAAGAAGGCCUUCGGGUUGUAAAGCACUUUCAGUCAGGAGGAAAGGGUGUGAGUUAAUACCUCACAUCUGUGACGUUACUGACAGAAGAAGCACCGGCUAACUCCGUGCCAGCAGCCGCGGUAAUACGGAGGGUGCGAGCGUUAAUCGGAAUUACUGGGCGUAAAGCGUACGCAGGCGGUUUGUUAAGCGAGAUGUGAAAGCCCCGGGCUCAACCUGGGAACUGCAUUUCGAACUGGCAAAACUAGAGUGCGAUAGAAGGGGUGGUA